CUCUUUUUGGUUAGGUCAGCAAUAGGAGCAGGGACCACUUUUUAUACAGGAGCUCAUUAUUAAGUUGGAGACUUUCCUGUGGCCCCCUUGCCCUCCCCUGCAUUACCUAGUGUCAAGCAGAUUAUAAAUCAGGGAAUUAAACCAUCAGCACCUAAUGACAAAUGGGGCUUUCCCCAGUUCAACUCGCCACCUCAUCC
Molecule: long non-coding RNA, 197 nt
Filed under: Phascolarctos cinereus (koala)
Lineage: Eukaryota; Metazoa; Chordata; Mammalia; Diprotodontia; Phascolarctidae
Description: lncRNA (ENSPCIG00000016344.2)
Source: RNAcentral